CAGUAGCCGCGGUAAAACGGAGGGAGCUAGCGUUGUUCGGAAUUACUGGGCGUAAAGCGCACGUAGGCGGCUUUGUAAGUUAGAGGUGAAAGCCUGGAGCUCAACUCCAGAAUUGCCUUUAAGACUGCAUCGCUUGAAUCCAGGAGAGGUGAGUGGAAUUCCGAGUGUAGAGGUGAAAUUCGUAGAUAUUCGGAAGAACACCAGUGGCGAAGGCGGCUCACUGGACUGGUAUUGACGCUGAGGUGCGAAAGCGUGGGGAGCAAACAGGAUUAGAUACCCCCCGUAGUCCCUGUCUCUUAUU
This 301-nucleotide ribosomal RNA is filed under the name uncultured bacterium. RNAcentral's name for it is "partial 16S ribosomal RNA". It matches the Rfam family "Bacterial small subunit ribosomal RNA", at positions 509 to 808 of the family's 1533-position model. The record is from RNAcentral.